CUUUUCAGAAAUUGAGGUGAAGGAGUGAAUACCUCCAUAAAUGCAGCACAGCUCCUCCUCCUGCAAAGCCAGGGCCUCCAGGGCUCACUUUACAACACAGCCAUCAAUGGUCGCCCAGGUCUGAGUCGGUGGCUGCACCCUUUCUCCAUUCAGCUCAUCCCUGUGGUCACUUCAUCCACCCACAACUGAGGAACCCCCAGCACAUCCUCGUCUCAGUCACCAUGGAGGCAUCUGGAACCAUGGGCAGAAGUGUACCUGACAUGAUUUAAGUGGUGGUUGGAGACUGAGCAUGCAACUGAAUGAAUGAGACACUUGCGGGAGGGAAUGGGGCUCAAAGGAAAACCCAGGUACAGAAGGGGAGCUGGAGUGGCUCCUGGAACUGAUACAUGAAUUCAGUCAAGUUUCAGGAUACAAAAUCAAUGUACGCAAUCAGUAGCAUUCUUAUACUCCAACAACAUUCUAGCUGAGAAUGAAAGCAAGAACACAAUCACAUUUACAACAGCCACAAAGAAAAUGAAGUACCUAGUAGUUCAUUGACCUGAAGGGAUGAAAGAUCUUUAUAGGAGAACUACAAAACACUGCUAAAAAGAAUAAGACAAAACGCAAAUGAAUGGAAAAAAUAUUUCAUGCACAUGGGU
This is a non-coding RNA of Macaca mulatta (Rhesus monkey), 638 nucleotides long. Lineage: Eukaryota; Metazoa; Chordata; Mammalia; Primates; Cercopithecidae. The record is from RefSeq and is a predicted model, not a curated record.